This is a long non-coding RNA of Cucurbita moschata (crookneck pumpkin), 290 nucleotides long. RefSeq lists it as uncharacterized. NCBI's taxonomy places the organism in Eukaryota, Viridiplantae, Streptophyta, Magnoliopsida, Cucurbitales, Cucurbitaceae. The transcript has 3 exons. The record is from RefSeq and is a predicted model, not a curated record.
AUUUUCUCCAAUGGACUAAGGGACCCUUAUAGCAGCGGCGGAGUGUUGCAUAACUUAUCUGACAGUCUCCUUGCACUCCAUACGCCUAAUGGAUCUCAUUGUUUGGACAUUUUACGAGCAAAUGAAACGGAUCCACAGUGGUUGGUGGAACAAAGAGAGACAGAGGUUAACAUCAUUAAAGGAUGGAUCAGUAAGUACUAUGCUGAUCUUGGCAGUCCAAACAAUAUAUAAACAACAAAUAAUGAUGAUGAAACACUAUAAACAGGAUACGAAAAUCAUACUGACAUGUA